GAUGAACGCUGGCGGCGUGCCUAAUACAUGCAAGUCGAGCGAACAGAUCAGGAGCUUGCUCCUCUGACGUUAGCGGCGGACGGGUGAGUAACACGUGGAUAACCUAACUAUAAGACUGGGAUAAUUUCGGGAAACCGUAGCUAAUACCGGAUAAUAUAUUGAACCGCAUUGUUCAAUAGUUAAAGAAGGUUUUGCUUUCACUAAUAGACUGAUCCGCGCCGCAUUAGUUAGUUGGUUAGGUAACGGCUUAGCAAGGCAAGGAUGCUUAGCCGACCUCAGAGGGAGGUCGGCCAGACUGGAUGUGAGACACGGCCCAGACUCCUACGGGAGGAAGCAGUCGGGAAUCUUCCGCGAGGCGGGAGAGCCUGACGGAGCAACGCCGCGUGAGUGAUGAAGGACUUCGGAUCGGAAAGCUCUGUUAGUAGGAAAGAACAAAUGUGUAAGUAACUAUGCACGUAUUGACGGUACCGAAUCAGAAAGCCACGGCUAACUACGUG
RNAcentral lists this ribosomal RNA (497 nucleotides) under uncultured bacterium. RNAcentral describes it as "partial 16S ribosomal RNA". It matches the Rfam family "Bacterial small subunit ribosomal RNA", at positions 28 to 507 of the family's 1533-position model. The record is from RNAcentral.